Molecule: transfer RNA, 73 nt
Filed under: Ailuropoda melanoleuca (giant panda)
Lineage: Eukaryota; Metazoa; Chordata; Mammalia; Carnivora; Ursidae
Rfam family: tRNA
About the family: Transfer RNA (tRNA) molecules are approximately 80 nucleotides in length. Their secondary structure includes four short double-helical elements and three loops (D, anti-codon, and T loops). Further hydrogen bonds mediate the characteristic L-shaped molecular structure. tRNAs have two regions of fundamental functional importance: the anti-codon, which is responsible for specific mRNA codon recognition, and the 3' end, to which the tRNAs corresponding amino acid is attached (by aminoacyl-tRNA synthetases). tRNAs cope with the degeneracy of the genetic code in two manners: having more than one tRNA (with a specific anti-codon) for a particular amino acid; and 'wobble' base-pairing, i.e. permitting non-standard base-pairing at the 3rd anti-codon position.
Source: Rfam by way of RNAcentral
GCCUGGCUGGUUCAGUUGGUAGAACAUGCGACUCUUGAUCUUGGGGUUGUGAGUUUGAGCCCCAUGUUGGGUG